This 373-nucleotide unclassified non-coding RNA is filed under the name Hevea brasiliensis (rubber tree). Lineage: Eukaryota; Viridiplantae; Streptophyta; Magnoliopsida; Malpighiales; Euphorbiaceae. The record is from RNAcentral.
AAACUACACUUUCUAUUCCUUUGCCUUUGGGGAAGCAGCUUGGUGGUCAUGCUACAGUGGAUUCUGCUGGAGAGACGCAAGUGAAGAGUUCGAAGAUUCGUGGAGAUGGGAGAGGAAAAAAUCAAUUACUGCCUCGUUACUGGCCUCGCAUAACGGAUCAAGAGCUACGCCGUUUAUCUGAAGAUUCAAAUUCUGUGAUUACUCCUUUGUUUGAAAAGAUGCUAAGUGCAAGUGAUGCUGGCAGGAUAGGACGGCUAGUAUUGCCAAAGAAAUGUGCUGAGGCCUAUUUUCCACCAAUUUCUAAUCCAGAAGGGUUGCCUCUCAAGAUGCAAGAUCUGAAAGGGAAGGAAUGGAUGUUCCAGUUUAGGUUUUG